CCGGAGGCAGCUCACGCGCCGGCGCGUGGCGGAGGUGGGCGGCGGUGCGGUGGCGCGUGAGCCUCACGCGCAGGGCAGAUCGGCGCCGGAUUUCGCAGGGAGGGUCGCCGGACGCCGGCGAUCCUUCGUGGGUGGGCGGUGAUGACAGCGGAGCGAAAA
Molecule: long non-coding RNA, 159 nt
Organism: Ipomoea triloba (trilobed morning glory)
Lineage: Eukaryota; Viridiplantae; Streptophyta; Magnoliopsida; Solanales; Convolvulaceae
Exons: 2
Source: RefSeq, a predicted model, not a curated record